AGGGCGUACGGUGAAUGCCUUGGUGCCAACAGGCGAAGAAGGACGCGGCAAGCUGCGAAAAGCCUCGGGAAGCUGCAAGCAAGCGAUGAUCCGGGGAUAUCCGAAUGGGGUAACCUGAUCGAGGCAAUACUCGAUCGUUCAUACCUGAAUACAUAGGGUAUGAAACGCGAAACCCGCUGAAGUGAAACAUCUCAGUAAGCGGAGGAAAAGAAAGAGAAAUCGAUUCCGUAAGUAGUGGCGAGCGAAAGCGGAUGGAGCCCAAACCGAAGGUAUUCCUUCGGGGUUGUAGGACCACGUCAUAUUCGACCAUACUGGAUAGUAGAACAGCCUGGAAAGGCUGGCCGGAGAAGGUGAAAGCCCUGUAGACGAAAUCCAGAGUGGGAAUUAGUGGUAUCCUGAGUAAUACAUCACACGUGGAACGAUGUAUGAACCCGCGCGGACCACCGCGCAAGGCUAAAUACUAGUUGGCGACCGAUAGUGAACAAGUACCGCGAGGGAAAGGUGAAAAGAACCGCUGUGAGCGGAGUGAAAUAGAACCUGAAACCGUAUGUCUACAAAGUGUCAGAGCAGAGCAAUCUGCGAUGGCGUGCCUUUUGUUUAAUGAGUCUGCGAGUCAGUGUUUGUGGCAAGACUAAGGGCUUCCGGCCCGGAGUCGCAGCGAAAGCAAGUCCGAACAGGGCGCAAUAAGUCGCAGGUACUGGACCCGAAGCGGAGGUGACCUACCCUUGGCCAGGUUGAAGCAUGGGUAAAACCAUGUGGAGGACCGAACAGGUGAACGUUGAAAAGUUCUCUGAUGAGCUGAGGGUAGGAGUGAAAGGCUAAUCAAACCCCGUGAUAGCUGGUUCUCUUCGAAAUGCAUUUAGGUGCAGCGUCACGUGCUGAUGCGCGGGGGUAGAGCACUGACAAGGCUAGGGGGCACACCCGCUUACCAAACCUUAUCAAACUCCGAAUACCGUGCAAUGGAACGUGGCAGUGAGACAGUGGGGGAUAAGCUUCAUUGUCGAGAGGGAAACAACCCAGACCAGCAGCUAAGGUGCCUAAAUAACGCUCAGUGGAAAGGAUGUGGGAUUACACAGACAGUGAGGAUGUUGGCUUAGAAGCAGCCACCAUUUAAAAAAUGCGUAAUAGCUUACUCAUCGAGUGAUCCUGCGCCGAAAAUGAUUGGCGAUCAAGCGUUAUACCGAAGCUCUGGACUUUGCCGCAAGGCAGAGUGGUAGAAGAGCGUUGCAUGCGCGUCGAAGGGCGAUGGCGACUGACCCUGGAGCACAUGCAAGUGAGUAUGCAGACAUGAGUAACGUUAAGCCGGGUGAAAUCCCCGGCCGCCGUAAACCCGAGGUUUCCAGGGCAACGUGUUUCGUCCCUGGGUUAGCCGGGACCUAAGCCGAGGCCGAGAGGCGUAGGCGAUGGACAUCAGGUUAAUAAUCCUGAGCUCGCAACCCUUAAACUGGGGGGACGCAUGAGAAAAGAUGACUAGGUUAUUGAAUUCCGAGUUGAGUCUACGGACUCAGCGCAUCAUUGGAUCGAGUGCCAAGAAAAGCCCCAGCGUAUGCUAAGCGACCCGUACCGCAAACCGACACAGGUGGGUGGGUAGAAUAUACCAAGGCGUAAGAGUGAAACCUGGUUAAGGAACUCGGCAAAUUAGCCCCGUAACUUCGGAAGAAGGGGUGCCUGCAGCGAUGCAGGCCGCAGAGAAAUGGCCCAACCGACUGUUUAUCAAAAACACAGCACUCUGCAAAGACGCAAGUCGAAGUAUAGGGUGUGACACGUGACCAAUGCCGAAAGAUUAAGGCAAGGGGUUAGCCGCAAGGCGAAGCUCUAAACCCAAGUCCCGGUGAAUGUCGGCCGUAACUAUAACGGUCCUAAGGUAGCGAAAUUCCUUGUCGGGUAAGUUCCGACCUGCACGAAUCGUGAAACGAGUUGGGCACUGUCUCAACCAGGCGCUCAGUGAAAUUGUAGUGGCGGUGAAGAUGCCGCCUACCCGCAGAAGGACGGAAAGACCCUAUAGACCUUAACUGUAAGCUGUCAUUGUUUCUUCGGUUUUAAUGCUCAGAGUAAGUGGGAGACGCUGAAGACGCCCUUUAGGGGGCGUCCGAGUCAUCAAUGAGACACCACCCUUUGAAACUGGAGGAUCUAACCCUGAGCCGUGAAUCCGGCCAGAGGACCGUGUCAGCCGGUCAGUUUUACUGGGGCGGUAUCCUCCCAAAGAGUAACGGAGGAGCGCGAAGGUGGGCUCAGCCCGGUUGGCAACCGGGUGUCGAGUGCAUGGGCAUAAGCCCGCCUAACUGUGAGACCAACAAGUCGAGCAGAUGCGAAAGCAGGCCCAAGUGAUCCGGCGGUAGAAAGUGGAAUUGCCGUCGCUCAACGGAUAAAAGGUACCUUAGGGAUAACAGGCUGAUCACGCCCAAGAGUUCAUAUCGACGGCGUGGUUUGGCACCUCGAUGUCGGCUCGUCGCAUCCUGGGGCUGUAUUCGGUCCCAAGGGUUUGGCUGUUCGCCAAUUAAAGC
This 2504-nucleotide ribosomal RNA is filed under the name human gut metagenome. RNAcentral describes it as "bacterial LSU rRNA". It matches the Rfam family "Bacterial large subunit ribosomal RNA", at positions 14 to 2594 of the family's 2925-position model. The record is from RNAcentral.